This 356-nucleotide unclassified non-coding RNA is filed under the name uncultured Basidiomycota. RNAcentral's name for it is "sequence contains ITS1". The stretch from base 1 to 105 matches the Rfam family "5.8S ribosomal RNA", at positions 50 to 154 of the family's 154-position model. Lineage: Eukaryota; Fungi; Basidiomycota. The record is from RNAcentral.
GAAUUGCGAUAAGUAAUGUGAAUUGCAGAAUUCAGUGAAUCAUCGAAUCUUUGAACGCAUAUUGCACCUUCUGGUACUCUGGAAGGUAUGCCUGUUUGAGUGUCAUGAAAAUCUUCAACAUGAUAAUUUUUUUUGUUUUUGUCGUGUUUGAACGGUGAAGGUGUGCCGGCAGCAUGUCUGUUGGCUCCUUUUAAAUUGAUUAGCAUGGACGCGCAACAUCAGCUUCGAUUUGAUAAGUGUUUAGAUUGUUGCUGAGAUCGUGCCAACAAGCUUCUAAUUGUCUUGUAUGACUGUCUCUUUGGAGGCAUGCUAUCACAUUUGACCUCAAAUCAGGUAGGACUACCCGCUGAACUUAA